AAAGAAUUAGUUAAAAAAUAACAUAAAUAUGUCAAAUUUAAAUUAUUAUCUAUAAUAAUAUUCUUUU
Molecule: transfer RNA, 67 nt
Filed under: Kennelia xylinana
Lineage: Eukaryota; Metazoa; Arthropoda; Insecta; Lepidoptera; Tortricidae
Description: tRNA-Asp
Source: RNAcentral